This 133-nucleotide small nuclear RNA is filed under the name Pythium aphanidermatum DAOM BR444. RNAcentral describes it as "snRNA EPrPAph00000013117". It matches the Rfam family "U4 spliceosomal RNA". From Rfam's summary of the family: U4 small nuclear RNA (U4 snRNA) is a component of the major U2-dependent spliceosome. The record is from RNAcentral. Lineage: Eukaryota; Oomycota; Peronosporomycetes; Pythiales; Pythiaceae.
AUCUUUGCGCUUGGGGCAAUACGAUAGUGUGUGAAGCUCUGCUGAUGCAUCGUUAUUGCUAGUUGAAAACUACUCCAAACCUCGUGGGUUUGGCCACUGGCCAACUCCAAUUUCUGAUACUCUCCCCUUGAGG